This 425-nucleotide unclassified non-coding RNA is filed under the name soil metagenome. RNAcentral's name for it is "partial contains 5.8S ribosomal RNA, internal transcribed spacer 2, and large subunit ribosomal RNA". The stretch from base 1 to 120 matches the Rfam family "5.8S ribosomal RNA", at positions 35 to 154 of the family's 154-position model. The record is from RNAcentral.
GAUGAAGAACGUAGCGAAAUGCGAUAAGUAGUGUGAAUUGCAGAAUUCCGUGAAUCAUCGAAUCUUUGAACGCACAUUGCGCCUUCUGGUAUUCCGGAAGGCAUGCCUGUUCGAGAGUCAUUAACAACCGUUUCGAUCCCUUUCUUUCGGAAAUUACAAAGAGGAAAAGGGUUUGGUUAUGGUGGAGGAGGGAAAGGGAGCGUUUAGCCUGUAAAAAAAGAGGCUGUGUUCCGCCUCCCCCCCAAAAUUGUACAGGCGGUCGUGUGCGCCCACGCAUCGAGGUGUUGUAAAAGCUGCCACGGCACUUUUCACCUGUGCAGUGCGAGAUUGGCCAGCCGGUUUAAAAACCCCUCCAAACAAUCAAAGGUUGACCUCGGAUCAGGUAGGGAUACCCGCUGAACUUAAGCAUAUCAAUAAGCGGAGGA